This 777-nucleotide ribosomal RNA is filed under the name uncultured Neocallimastigales. RNAcentral describes it as "partial large subunit ribosomal RNA". It matches the Rfam family "Eukaryotic large subunit ribosomal RNA", at positions 26 to 635 of the family's 3401-position model. The record is from RNAcentral. Lineage: Eukaryota; Fungi; Neocallimastigomycota; Neocallimastigomycetes; Neocallimastigales.
CGCAUCUGUGCAUGCAGCAUAUCAAUAAGCGGAGGAAAAGAAACUAACAAGGAUUCCCCUAGUAACGGCGAGUGAAGCGGGAAGAGCUCAAAUUUGAAAUCUUAAAGGGUUUCCCUUUACGAAUUGUAGUUUAAAGAAGUGUUUUCUGUUGAGGUUUUGGUAAAAGUUCUUUGGAAUAGGACAUCAUAGAGGGUGAGAAUCCCGUAUUUGACCUUUACUUUCAACUUUGUGAUACACUUUCAAAGAGUCGGAUUGUUUGGGAAUGCAGUCCAAAAUGGGUGGUAAAUUUCAUCUAAAGCUAAAUAUUGGCGAGAGACCGAUAGCGAACAAGUACCGUGAGGGAAAGAUGAAAAGAACUUUGAAAAGAGAGUUAAACAGUACGUGAAAUUGUCAAAAGGGAAGCGUUUGACACCAGUGUUGUUUUUCUGAAAAAUCAAUUAAAGAACUGUCUAUGCUAAGUUGUUUAGACUUUAUCAGCUAACUGUUUAGUUUUGAGCUUUUCUUUAAUGCACUUUUCAGUUAACAAGUCAACAUCAAUUUCUUUUGCUGUAAAAAAAGCUUGAGGAAGGUGGCUUGAGUAUUCGUCUUAAGUGUUUAUAGCCUCUUGCCUAUGCAGUCGGAGAGAUUGAGGUCUGCAGCGUAGAUCCUUCGGGGCUAAAUGCAUUUGUGCUAAGUUAUAGCAUUUUAUAGACAACUUGUUGACUAUGAUUUGUCUUGUAGCUUACUCGCUUAUGUUAUUUUACCUACGCUUAGGAUGUUGAAGAUGUAGCACAUCAU